This 430-nucleotide ribosomal RNA is filed under the name Pseudomonadota bacterium. Its description in RNAcentral is "Proteobacteria bacterium partial 16S ribosomal RNA". It matches the Rfam family "Bacterial small subunit ribosomal RNA", at positions 355 to 776 of the family's 1533-position model. The record is from RNAcentral. Lineage: Bacteria; Pseudomonadati; Pseudomonadota.
UGGGGAAUAUUGGACAAUGGGGGGAACCCUGAUCCAGCCAUGCCGCGUGUGUGAAGAAGGCCUUAUGGUUGUAAAGCACUUUAAGCGAGGAGGAGGGUACUGGUAUUAAUACUACCAGGUACUGGACGUUACUCGCAGAAUAAGCACCGGCUAACUCUGUGCCAGCAGCCGCGGUAAUACAGAGGGUGCGAGCGUUAAUCGGAAUUACUGGGCGUAAAGCGCGCGUAGGUGAUUCGUUAAGUUGAAUGUGAAAGCCCCGGGCUCAACCUGGGAACUGCAUCCAAAACUGGCGAGCUAGAGUAGGGCAGAGGGUGGUGGAAUUUCCUGUGUAGCGGUGAAAUGCGUAGAUAUAGGAAGGAACACCAGUGGCGAAGGCGACCACCUGGGCUCAUACUAACACUGAGGUGCGAAAGCGUGGGGAGCAAACAGG